RNAcentral lists this ribosomal RNA (506 nucleotides) under uncultured bacterium. RNAcentral describes it as "partial 16S ribosomal RNA". It matches the Rfam family "Bacterial small subunit ribosomal RNA", at positions 29 to 523 of the family's 1533-position model. The record is from RNAcentral.
AGUGAACGCUGGCGGUAGGCCUAACACAUGCAAGUCGAACGGCAGCACAGGAGAGCUUGCUCUCUGGGUGGCGAGUGGCGGACGGGUGAGGAAUACAUCGGAAUCUACUCUGUCGUGGGGGAUAACGUAGGGAAACUUACGCUAAUACCGCAUACGACCUACGGGUGAAAGAAGGGGACCUUCGGGCCUUGCGCGAUUGAAUGAGCCGAUGUCGGAGUAGCUAGUUGGCGGGGUAAAGGCCCACCAAGGCGACGAUCCGUAGGUGGUCUGAGAGGAUGAUCAGCCACACUGGAACUGAGACACGGUCCCGACUCCUACGGGAGGCAGCAGUGGGGAAUAUUGGACAAUGGGCGCAAGCCUGAUCCAGCCAUACCGCGUGGGUGAAGAAGGCCUUCGGGUUGUAAAGCCCUUUUGUUGGGAAAGAAAUCCAGCUGGCUAAUACCCGGUUGGGAUGACGGUACCCAAAGAAUAAGCACCGGCUAACUUCGUGCCAGCCGCCGCCGUAA